RNAcentral lists this ribosomal RNA (497 nucleotides) under uncultured bacterium. RNAcentral's name for it is "partial 16S ribosomal RNA". It matches the Rfam family "Bacterial small subunit ribosomal RNA", at positions 28 to 507 of the family's 1533-position model. The record is from RNAcentral.
GAUGAACGCUGGCGGCGUGCCUAAUACAUGCAAGUCGAGCGAACGGACGAGAAGCUUGCUUUUCUGAUGUUAGCGGCGGACGGGUGAGUAACACGUGGAUAACCUACCUAUAAGACUGGGAUAACUUCGGGAAACCGGAGCUAAUACCGGAUAAUAUUUUGAACCGCAUGGUUCAAAAGUGAUAGACGGUCUUGCUGUCACUUAUAGAUGGAUCCGCGCUGCAUUAGCUAGUUGGUAAGGUAACGGCUUACCAAGGCAACGAUGCAUAGCCGACCUGUGAGAGUGGUAGGCCACAUGGGAGCGGGGCCACGGUCCUGGGGCCUACGGGAGGCAGCAGUAGGGAACCUUACGCAAUGGGCGAAAGCCUGACGGAGCAACGCCGCGUGAGUGAUGAAGGUCUUCGGAUCGGAAAACUCUGUUAUUAGGGAAGAACAUAUGUGUAAGUAACUGUGCACAGCUUGACGGUACUUAAUCAGAAAGCCACGGCUAACUACGUG